Molecule: ribosomal RNA, 469 nt
Filed under: uncultured bacterium
Lineage: Bacteria
Description: partial 16S ribosomal RNA
Rfam family: Bacterial small subunit ribosomal RNA
Source: RNAcentral
GACGAACGCUGGCGGCGUGCUUAACACAUGCAGGUCGAACGGAAAGGCCCUGCUUGCAGGGUGCUCGAGUGGCGAACGGGUGAGUCACACGUGGGUGAUCUGCCCCUUACUUUGGGAUAAGCCUGUGAAACUGGGUCUAAUACUGGAUAGGACCAUGCUGUAGGUGGUGUGGUGGAAAGAUUAGUUUCGGUAAGGGAUGAGCUCGCGGCCUAUCAGCUUGUUGGUGGGGUACUGGCCUACCAAGGCGUCGACGGGUAGCCGGCCUGAGAGGGUGGACGGCCACAUUGGGACUGUGAUACGGCCCAGACGCCUACGGGAGGCAGCAGUGGGGAAUAUUGCACAAUGGGCGCAAGCCUGAUGCAGCGACGCCGCGUGGGGGAUGACGGCCUUCGGGUUGUAAACUCCUUUCAGCCAUGACGAAGCCCUUGUGGUGACGGUAGUGGUAGAAGAAGCACCGGCUAACUACGUG